AAGUCGUAACAAGGUUUCCGUAGGUGAACCUGCGGAAGGAUCAUUAAAACGUAUCCAACGUUAACUAAUAGUGAACUCGUCUCCUCCCUUAGCAUUGAGAAAUUGGAACAGUGAUCGGCAUUGAUUGGGAGCUGUAACAGGUUCGGUCUUUCACAGCCACUGCAUAUCUUUUUGGAUAUGUGACAAUAGUAUCCGUGUUAAGGCUUUUUCUUUCUGUCGCCACUCUCCAUCAAGAGUGAGGCAGACGGAGUGUAUACUAACCAUUUUCACCCCCUUUUUGCUAGUUGACUUUUUUAAUGUUAAUUUUUACGAAAGUAGAAGUUACACGUUUCAUUAUUUGAACGUAAAAUACAACUCUUAGCAAUGGAUAUCUAGGUUCUC
RNAcentral lists this unclassified non-coding RNA (381 nucleotides) under fungal sp. Its description in RNAcentral is "partial internal transcribed spacer region". The stretch from base 1 to 46 matches the Rfam family "Eukaryotic small subunit ribosomal RNA", at positions 1786 to 1831 of the family's 1831-position model. The record is from RNAcentral. Lineage: Eukaryota; Fungi.